RNAcentral lists this unclassified non-coding RNA (200 nucleotides) under Hevea brasiliensis (rubber tree). The record is from RNAcentral. Lineage: Eukaryota; Viridiplantae; Streptophyta; Magnoliopsida; Malpighiales; Euphorbiaceae.
GCCUGCCCUUAAGGUGCGCGGCAAGCUCCUGUUGCGGCGAUGGCGGACAUUGGCGUCGAAAAAGGCGCUCAAGGCAUUCGAGGGUUUGCCCGAACGCUGACCUUGUCAGCGCAGCUCGUAGGUCUUGCCGUCCAUCGAGAUUCGUUCGGCGCGCAUUUCAUUCAUCUCGAUUUUCGACGGAUAUCCGUAAGCCGACACCU